GCCCGGAUGGUGAAAUAGGUAGACACGAUGGACUUAAAAUCCAUUGCCCUCAUACGGCGUGCCGGUUCGAGUCCGGCUCCGGGCACCA
RNAcentral lists this transfer RNA (88 nucleotides) under Candidatus Doriopsillibacter californiensis. RNAcentral describes it as "tRNA-Leu". It matches the Rfam family "tRNA". From Rfam's summary of the family: Transfer RNA (tRNA) molecules are approximately 80 nucleotides in length. Their secondary structure includes four short double-helical elements and three loops (D, anti-codon, and T loops). The record is from RNAcentral. Lineage: Bacteria; Pseudomonadati; Pseudomonadota; Gammaproteobacteria; Candidatus Tethybacterales; Candidatus Persebacteraceae.